Molecule: long non-coding RNA, 707 nt
Filed under: Manacus vitellinus (golden-collared manakin)
Lineage: Eukaryota; Metazoa; Chordata; Aves; Passeriformes; Pipridae
Description: lncRNA (ENSMVIG00005015149.1)
Source: RNAcentral
ACCUGGGCAUUUGGUUUAAUUGAUUUAUGGUUUAAUUGUAUUCAAACUUGUCAAACAAGUUUAUUAGAAAACAUAACAGUACCUCAUAUCUUAUAAUUAGACAUUUGCAGUCAGAGUGGGCUUUUAGGAAAGGAUUGAAAUCACACAGAAGACCAGACUUCCUCUUUCCAGAAGAGCAUGGACACCACUGAAAAACUGUGCAUUUAAAAAGGACAAAGUGAAGAACACAUGAAAGUUUCUUUUGGUUAACAGGUCAAAUGGACAGUGAAGAUCGAUGUCACAACUGAGGUAGGUUGUAACAACAGAGGAACUGGUAGGGCUUUUGCUCUAUGAGUGGUAUUAAAGGUAAUUCCUGAAAAUUCAAACUUGAGAAGCCAGGUGAGGUUUACAAAGAGAAGGUUUUAUUUGCUCAGAAAUACAAGGUUGGAAGAUCUCAGGAAGUUCUUUGCAUUUCUGAUGUGUUUUUUAGAUUCCCAACAGAAUGCUGUAGUGGGCGUGUGUGAAGAUGAAGAUCUGAAAGUUUCAGAAAUAUGAACAGAAGAAGAGAGCUGAAUGUUGAUGACGGUACAGCUGAAUUUACUCUAAAUAGUAUCAAGAGAAAAAUUACUGCCAGUUUUUCUUCCAAGUGUCCUGCCUUAUUCAGCAGAGUGAUGGCGAUAAUUUUAGGGUAUUAAACAAGAUGCAAAAAUUUUCUGUCUCAUUCUCUU